GACGAACGCUGGCGGCGUGCUUAACACAUGCAAGUCGAACGGAAAGGCCCUGCUUUUGUGGGGUGCUCGAGUGGCGAACGGGUGAGUAACACGUGAGUAACCUGCCCUUGACUUUGGGAUAACUUCAGGAAACUGGGGCUAAUACCGGAUAGGAGCUCCUGCUGCAUGGUGGGGGUUGGAAAGUUUCGGCGGUUGGGGAUGGACUUGCGGCUUAUCAGCUUGUUGGUGGGGUAGUGGCUUACCAAGGCUUUGACGGGUAGCCGGCCUGAGAGGGUGACCGGCCACAUUGGGACUGAGAUACGGCCCAGACUCCUACGGGAGGCAGCAGUGGGGAAUAUUGCACAAUGGGCGGAAGCCUGAUGCAGCAACGCCGCGUGCGGGAUGACGGCCUUCGGGUUGUAAACCGCUUUCGCCUGUGACGAAGCGUGAGUGACGGUAAUGGGUAAAGAAGCACCGGCUAACUACGUGCCAGCAGCCGCGGUGAUACGUAGGGUGCGAGCGUUGUCCGGAUUUAUUGGGCGUAAAGGGCUCGUAGGUGGUUGAUCGCGUCGGAAGUGUAAUCUUGGGGCUUAACCCUGAGCGUGCUUUCGAUACGGGUUGACUUGAGGAAGGUAGGGGAGAAUGGAAUUCCUGGUGGAGCGGUGGAAUGCGCAGAUAUCAGGAGGAACACCAGUGGCGAAGGCGGUUCUCUGGGCCUUUCCUGACGCUGAGGAGCGAAAGCGUGGGGAGCGAACAGGCUUAGAUACCCUGGUAGUCCACGCUGUAAACGGUGGGUACUAGGUGUGGGGUCCAUUCCACGGGUUCCGUGCCGUAGCUAACGCUUUAAGUACCCCGCCUGGGGAGUACGGCCGCAAGGCUAAAACUCAAAGGAAUUGACGGGGCCCCGCACAAGCGGCGGAGCAUGCGGAUUAAUUCGAUGCAACGCGUAGAACCUUACCUGGGUUUGACAUGGAUCGGGAGUGCUCUGAGAUGGGUGUGCCUCUUUUGGGGUCGGUUCACAGGUGGUGCAUGGCUGUCGUCAGCUCGUGUCGUGAGAUGUUGGGUUAAGUCCCGCAACGAGCGCAACCCUUGUUCACUGUUGCCAGCACGUUAUGGUGGGGACUCAGUGGAGACCGCCGGGGUCAACUCGGAGGAAGGUGGGGAUGACGUCAAGUCAUCAUGCCCCUUAUGUCCAGGGCUUCACGCAUGCUACAAUGGCCGGUACAGAGAGUGGCGAGCCUGUGAGGGUGAGCGAAUCUCGGAAAGCCGGUCUCAGUUCGGAUUGGGGUCUGCAACUCGACCUCAUGAAGUCGGAGUCGCUAGUAAUCGCAGAUCAGCAACGCUGCGGUGAAUACGUUCCCGGGGCU
Molecule: ribosomal RNA, 1346 nt
Filed under: uncultured bacterium
Lineage: Bacteria
Description: bacterial SSU rRNA
Rfam family: Bacterial small subunit ribosomal RNA
Source: RNAcentral